UACCUGCAGCUCGAGUGGUGAUCGUUAUUAUUGGGCCUAAAACGUCCGUAGCCGGUCUUGUAAAUGCCUAGGUAAAUCGUAUGGCUUAACUAUACGAAUUCUGGGUAGACUGUUAGACUUGAGACCGGGAGAAGCUAGAGGUACUCCUGGGGUAGAGGUGAAAUUCUGUAAUCCUAGGGGGACCACCAGUGGCGAAGGCGUCUAGCUAGAACGGGUCUGACGGUGAGGGACGAAGCCCUGGGGCGCAAACGGGAUUAGAUACCCCGGUAGUCCAGGGUGUAAACGCUGCUUGCUUGAUGUUAGUCUGGCUCCGAGCCAGAUUAGUGUCGGAGAGAAGUUGUUAAGCAAGCUGCCUGGGAAGUACGGCCGCAAGACUGAAACUUAAAGGAAUUGGGCGGGGGAGCACAGCAACGGGUGGAGCGUGCGGUUU
This 430-nucleotide ribosomal RNA is filed under the name uncultured archaeon. Its description in RNAcentral is "bacterial SSU rRNA". It matches the Rfam family "Archaeal small subunit ribosomal RNA", at positions 474 to 903 of the family's 1478-position model. The record is from RNAcentral.